RNAcentral lists this ribosomal RNA (492 nucleotides) under uncultured bacterium. RNAcentral's name for it is "partial 16S ribosomal RNA". It matches the Rfam family "Bacterial small subunit ribosomal RNA", at positions 29 to 507 of the family's 1533-position model. The record is from RNAcentral.
AGUGAACGCUGGCGGUAGGCCUAACACAUGCAAGUCGAACGGCAGCACAGUAAGAGCUUGCUCCUACGGGUGGCGAGUGGCGGACGGGUGAGGAAUACAUAGGCAUCUUCUUUUUCGUGGGGGACAACGUAGGGCAACUUACGCUAAUACCGCAUACGACCUACGGGUGAAAGCAGGGGAUCUUCGGACCUUGCGCGAUUGAAUGAGCCGAUGUCGGAUUAGCUAGUUGGCGGGGUAAAGGCCCACCAAGGCGACGAUCCGUAGCUGGUCUGAGAGGAUGAUCGGCCACACUGGAACUGAGACACGGUCCAGACUCCUACGGGAGGCAGCAGUGGGGAAUAUUGGACAAUGGGCGCAAGCCUGAUCCAGCCAUGCCGCGUGGGUGAAGAAGGCCUUCGGGUUGUAAAGCCCUGUUGUUGGGAAAGAAAAGCAGCAGGUGAAUACCCCGCUGUUCUGACGGUACCCGAAGAAUAAGCACCGGCUAGCUACGUG